ACUCCUACGGGAGGCAGCAGUGGGGAAUAUUGCACAAUGGGCGCAAGCCUGAUGCAGCCAUGCCGCGUGUAUGAAGAAGGCCUUCGGGUUGUAAAGUACUUUCAGCGGGGAGGAAGGUGUUGAGGUUAAUAACCUCAGCAAUUGACGUUACCCGCAGAAGAAGCACCGGCUAACUCCGUGCCAGCAGCCGCGGUAAUACGGAGGGUGCAAGCGUUAAUCGGAAUUACUGGGCGUAAAGCGCACGCAGGCGGUCUGUCAAGUCGGAUGUGAAAUCCCCGGGCUCAACCUGGGAACUGCAUUCGAAACUGGCAGGCUAGAGUCUUGUAGAGGGGGGUAGAAUUCCAGGUGUAGCGGUGAAAUGCGUAGAGAUCUGGAGGAAUACCGGUGGCGAAGGCGGCCCCCUGGACAAAGACUGACGCUCAGGUGCGAAAGCGUGGGGAGCAAACAGGAUUAGAUACCCCAGUAGUCCCAU
Molecule: ribosomal RNA, 472 nt
Filed under: uncultured organism
Description: partial 16S ribosomal RNA
Rfam family: Bacterial small subunit ribosomal RNA
Source: RNAcentral